Molecule: ribosomal RNA, 459 nt
Filed under: uncultured bacterium
Lineage: Bacteria
Description: partial 16S ribosomal RNA
Rfam family: Bacterial small subunit ribosomal RNA
Source: RNAcentral
CCUACGGGUGGCAGCAGUGAGGAAUAUUGGUCAAUGGGCGCGAGCCUGAACCAGCCAAGUCGCGUGAGGGAAGACGGUCCUAUGGAUUGUAAACCUCUUUUGUCGGGGAGCAAAAGACGCCACGCGGGGCGGUCCGAGAGUACCCGAAGAAAAAGCAUCGGCUAACUCCGGGCAAGCAGCCGCGGUAAUACGGAGGAUGCGAGCGUUAUACGGAUUUAUUGGGUGUAAAGGGUGCGCAGGAGGAAGAUCAAGUCAGCGGUAAAAUUGAGAGGCUCAACCUCUUCGAGCCGUUGAAACUGGUUUUCUUGAGUGAGUGAGAAGUCUGCGGAAUGCGUGGUGUAGCGGUGAAAUGCAUAGAUAUCACGCAGAACUCCGAUUGCGAAGGCAGCAUACCGGCGCUCAACUGACGCUCAUGCACGAAAGUGUGGGUAUCGAACAGGAUUAGAUACCCCGGUAGUC